This 264-nucleotide long non-coding RNA is filed under the name Physcomitrium patens. Its description in RNAcentral is "long non-coding RNA (PPAT_LNC005243)". The record is from RNAcentral. Lineage: Eukaryota; Viridiplantae; Streptophyta; Bryopsida; Funariales; Funariaceae.
CUAGAUGUGGAAGGUAGAAUAGAAAUUGCAACAACAAAAUUCUAAUUCUAAUAGAAUACUUACAAUGCUAAAUAAGCUUUAAUCAAAUUCAGAGAAACCUCAAAAGAAUUCCAAAGAAACAAUAAGGAAUCUUAAAAAAAUAUUAGAAUGAUUAUAAAUAUUUCUCAAAUACAUCUGAAUUCAAUCUUAAUUUAAUCUUAAUUGAAAUCUUAUUGGACUUCAUUCAAACUUUAGGCCAAAAACUAAAUAAAUCUUAAAUCCUAA